This 253-nucleotide ribosomal RNA is filed under the name uncultured bacterium. RNAcentral describes it as "partial 16S ribosomal RNA". It matches the Rfam family "Bacterial small subunit ribosomal RNA", at positions 524 to 776 of the family's 1533-position model. The record is from RNAcentral.
UACGUAGGUGGCGAGCGUUGUCCGGAUUUACUGGGCGUAAAGAGCGCGCAGGCGGUCGUACAAGUCGCGUGUGAAAGCCCCCGGCUCAACUGGGGAGGGUCACGCGAUACUGUUCGACUCGAAGGCAGGAGAGGGUAGUGGAAUUCCCGGUGUAGUGGUGAAAUGCGUAGAUAUCGGGAGGAACACCAGUGGCGAAGGCGACUACCUGGCCUGUUCUUGACGCUGAGGAGCGAAAGCGUGGGGAGCGAACAGG